GACGAACGCUGGCGGCGUGCCUAAUACAUGCAAGUAGAACGCUGAAGGAGGAGCUUGCUUCUCUGGAUGAGUUGCGAACGGGUGAGUAACGCGUAGGUAACCUGCCUGGUAGCGGGGGAUAACUAUUGGAAACGAUAGCUAAUACCGCAUAAGAGUAGAUGUUGCAUGACAUUUACUUAAAAGGUGCAAUUGCAUCACUACCAGAUGGACCUGCGUUGUAUUAGCUAGUUGGUGAGGUAACGGCUCACCAAGGCAACGAUACAUAGCCGACCGGAGAGGGUGAUCGGCCACACUGGGACUGGGACACGGCCCAGACUCCUACGGGAGGCAGCAGUAGGGAAUCUUCGGCAAUGGCCGGAAGUCUGACCGAGCAACGCCGCGUGAGUGAAGAAGGUUUUCGGAUCGUAAAGCUCUGUUGUAAGAGAAGAACGAGUGUGAGAGUGGAAAGUUCACACUGUGACGGUAUCUUACCAGAAAGGGACGGCUAACUACGUG
RNAcentral lists this ribosomal RNA (495 nucleotides) under uncultured bacterium. Its description in RNAcentral is "partial 16S ribosomal RNA". It matches the Rfam family "Bacterial small subunit ribosomal RNA", at positions 28 to 507 of the family's 1533-position model. The record is from RNAcentral.